GACGAACGCUGACGGUGUGCUUUAGACAUGCAAGUCGAACGCGAAAGCCCUUCGGGGUUAGUAGAGUGGCGAACGGGUGAGUAACACGUGGGCAAUCUGCCCCUCGCAGGGGGACAACCGGAGGAAACUCCGGCUAAUACCCCGUACGCUUGCUGGACCGCAUGGUCCGGCAAGGAAAGGUAGCUUCGGCCAUCCGGCGAGGGAUGAGCCCGCGGUGCAUUAGCUAGUUGGUGAGGUAACGGCNCACCAAGGCAACGAUGCAUAGCUGGUCUGAGAGGAUGAUCAGCCACACUGGGACUGAGACACGGCCCAGACUCCUACGGGAGGCAGCAGUCGGGAAUCUUGCGCAAUGGGCGAAAGCCUGACGCAGCAACACCGUGUGAGCGGACGAAGGCCUUCGGGUCGUAAAGCUCUGUUGUUGGGGACGAGGGCGACGGGUUAAUAGCCCGAGCCUGACGGUACCCUUCGAGGAAGCCCCGGCUAACUACGUGCCAGCAGCCGCGCGGU
Molecule: ribosomal RNA, 507 nt
Filed under: uncultured bacterium
Lineage: Bacteria
Description: bacterial SSU rRNA
Rfam family: Bacterial small subunit ribosomal RNA
Source: RNAcentral